Long non-coding RNA from Hevea brasiliensis (rubber tree), 630 nucleotides. RefSeq lists it as uncharacterized. Lineage: Eukaryota; Viridiplantae; Streptophyta; Magnoliopsida; Malpighiales; Euphorbiaceae. The transcript is spliced from 3 exons. The record is from RefSeq and is a predicted model, not a curated record.
AGCAUCAAAUAAUUUUCAUCAUCACUUCUAAGUUUUUAGUUUCUUUUACUCGCCUUCUCCUCCCCUUUACUAUCAGUGCAUUGUUUUUUGUCAGUUGGUUUUUCUAUCAUAGAUUUUCUGAGCUCAGAGAGAUGAAGAAACUAGUGCUGGCAUUGGAAUCAUUUGAUGAGAAUGAUAGGCAAAAAGCCAUGAAGACAGUUUGUGGCCUUCCAGGUAUUGAUUCAAUCUCCGCUGAUUUAAAAGGUAAAAAAUUGACAGUAAUCGGAGACGUUGAUCCAAUUAUCGUAGUAAAAAAGUUGAGGAAAUGCCAUUGCACAAAGAUAAUCUCCGUUGAAUGAGCAAAAAAACCUGAACAGAAGAGUAGAAGAAAUAAGAAGAGAAAGAAAGAGACGUUAAAAAAAAAAAACAAAAAGAGAUACAGAUGGGCUUCUUAAAGCCUACGGUGUUACUUCCAAUCAAGGAGUAGAAGAAUAUUCUAAUAUUCUGUGCCAUCUUCAUUUUGGAUCUUGCAAGGCUUCGCUGGACAUUAUCUUAAUGUACUUUUUUUUAUUAAUCUUUUUGAGACUGACCUUAUUGUAGAUUGGUAUGCCACUGUUACCAUAAUAAAAUAUAAUAAUAUUUUUUUUAAAA